GUACACUCCUACGGGAGGCAGCAGUGGGGAAUUUUGGACAAUGGGGGCAACCCUGAUCCAGCAAUGCCGCGUGAGUGAAGAAGGCCUUCGGGUUGUAAAGCUCUUUUGUCAGGGAAGAAACGGUGGUGGCGAAUAACUACUACUAAUGACGGUACCUGAAGAAUAAGCACCGGCUAACUACGUGCCAGCAGCCGCGGUAAUACGUAGGGUGCAAGCGUUAAUCGGAAUUACUGGGCGUAAAGCGUGCGCAGGCGGUUGUGUAAGUCAGAUGUGAAAUCCCCGGGCUCAACCUGGGAAUUGCAUUUGAGACUGCACGGCUAGAGUGUGUCAGAGGGUGGUAGAAUUCCACGUGUAGCAGUGAAAUGCGUAGAUAUGUGGAGGAAUACCGAUGGCGAAGGCAGCCCCCUGGGAUAACACUGACGCUCAUGCACGAAAGCGUGGGGAGCAAACAGGAUUAGAAACCCGUGUAGUCCCAUGAU
Molecule: ribosomal RNA, 479 nt
Filed under: uncultured organism
Description: partial 16S ribosomal RNA
Rfam family: Bacterial small subunit ribosomal RNA
Source: RNAcentral